ACGAACGCUGGCGGCGUGCUUCACACCUGCAAGUCGCACGGAAAGGCCCUGCUUUUGUGGGGUGCUCGAGUGGCGAACGGGUGAGUAACACGUGAGUAACCUGCCCUUGACUUUGGGAUAACUUCAGGAAACUGGGGCUAAUACCGGAUAGGAGCUCCUGCUGCAUGGUGGGGGUUGGAAAGUUUCGGCGGUUGGGGAUGGACUCGCGGCUUAUCAGCUUGUUGGUGGGGUAGUGGCUUACCAAGGCUUUGACGGGUAGCCGGCCUGAGAGGGUGACCGGCCACAUUGGGACUGGGAUACGGCCCAGACUCCUACGGGAGGCAGCAGUGGGGAAUAUUGCACAAUGGGCGGAAGCCUGAUGCAGCAACGCCGCGUGCGGGAUGACGGCCUUCGGGUUGUAAACCGCUUUCGCCUGUGACGAAGCGUGAGUGACGGUAAUGGGUAAAGAAGCACCGGCUAACUACGUG
This 467-nucleotide ribosomal RNA is filed under the name uncultured bacterium. RNAcentral's name for it is "partial 16S ribosomal RNA". It matches the Rfam family "Bacterial small subunit ribosomal RNA", at positions 29 to 507 of the family's 1533-position model. The record is from RNAcentral.